Molecule: unclassified non-coding RNA, 1414 nt
Organism: Stylophora pistillata
Lineage: Eukaryota; Metazoa; Cnidaria; Anthozoa; Scleractinia; Pocilloporidae
Source: RefSeq, a predicted model, not a curated record
UUGAUUACACGUCCUUUUUUCACUGUGUUUUAGUGUAAUCAUUUCGCGAUGCUUUCGUUCUGUUGCGAACCCAAAUGCAAUCAGAAAGGUUACAUAUCGUCAUUACAUAUCGAAAAGGUUUCUUUCUUUAACUUUCCUAAAGAGCCUUUGAUAAGAAAACAGUGGAUACACGCAAUCCGUCGAGAGGAACGCAAGGACUUCGUCAUAACAGAGAAUACGGAAGUCUAUCAACGGACGGAUUUAUGUCAAGGAAGACGGUGUUCCUUCAAAAUUUGACUGGUUUCCCAGGUGAUUUUUUUGAAUGAAGUAACACAAAAAGAUGGUGUUCCUUUGCCAGACUUGGUUUCCAGUGCCCAACAGAUCCGAGGGGCCAUCAAGAGCCUGGUACUGGCUGCUCAGAUAUUGGUCUCUGAAACAACAGAUGAUGAUUUGAAAUCAGCAAUGCCUCCAGCAUGUGAUUCUGUGACAGAUGCAGGGAAUGCAUUAGUGAUGGCAACACAUCAGCUUAAACAGCAGCCAUUCUCAGGCAAAGUGAGGUAAAACCUGGUAGACUCUGAAAGAAAUAUCCCUGAAGGAACCAUGAAGGAGUCAAUGAGGAACACCAGGAUGAGAAUUUGUGGACAGCAGGCUCUGUUGGCCUCAAUAAACCAUCUCAGACUUCUUGUGCUCCUGUGUCUAGAUUACUGAAUGCUGUAAAGGCCAGAGACUUUAACGUAGCAGAAAUGGAACUAAGAAAAGUUGAGUCUAGAGCCUAAUGGCUCUGAGUAUGCUGGGAAGCACAUCAGCUGACAAAUCAUGGAAUUUGGAGAGAGUGAGACGUGUUCAGGUCUAUGCAGGAGAGAUCAAAAGACUCACACCACUUAUCAUACAAGUAAUGCAUGAUGUUAGAAAUGAUACAGGUGACUUGGUGACUGUUGAGCCACUUUAGACUAUUGGUCGAGAAUGGGCUUCCAAAGUACAUGUGCUUUCUGGAACUGUUGAUGAAAUUGUUGUGCCCUGGUCAGCAGCAGCAUCUAAACUGGCUCUGGCUGCUCCUUCUGGUGAUGCAGAGCAAUUAAAAAAAAACCAGGAAAGGUGACUUGAGGUAGAGCUAGCUGGUAACGUUUCAAAUUACAAUUACAUGUCUCAGAUUGACAAAGAGACAUGCUCCAGUGUCCUGUAAAGUUUCUAAAGCUGACAUUUCUAGCAUAAGCCAUUUUUUAUUCACUCUGAGGAAGGGCUCAAAAUGUUAGCUUUAGAAACCAUGGUAGCCAAUUUAAGAACUUGAACUCAGUUGACAAAAAGGAAGUAUCUUGUAAAGAAAAGUAAUAAAGAAACAGACAUCUUUGCUUCCUAUUGUUCAAAAGAAAAGUAAUAAAGAAACGGAUAUCUUUGCUUCGUAUUGUUCAAACCUGCCAUUAGUUUCAUGAUUUGU